This 253-nucleotide ribosomal RNA is filed under the name uncultured bacterium. RNAcentral's name for it is "partial 16S ribosomal RNA". It matches the Rfam family "Bacterial small subunit ribosomal RNA", at positions 524 to 776 of the family's 1533-position model. The record is from RNAcentral.
UACAGAGGGUGCAAGCGUUGUUCGGAAUUAUUGGGCGUAAAGCGCGUGUAGGCGGCUUAGCAAGUCGGGUGUGAAAGCCCUCAGCUUAACUGAGGAAGUGCGCCCGAAACUGCUGAGCUUGAGUACCGGAGAGGGUAGCGGAAUUCCCCAAGUAGAGGUGAAAUUCGUAGAUAUGGGGAGGAACACCGGUGGCGAAGGCGGCUACCUGGACGGAUACUGACGCUGAGACGCGAAAGCGUGGGGAGCAAACAGG